CAACAACAAAGUUGGCGGCCGGGCGUGGGGAGACCAUUCUCGGUUACGUCACCCGAAGGCUGUCAAGUGGAUCUAGGAGGCUAUGAAGUAACUGCGAGAGUCUGCUCAGUCUGCAGUCGACGCGUCUUCCGAAAUACCACAACAGGUUCUAUAAAAUUGUCUGGAAAACAACGUCUUAAAAUCAUAAUUUGCGGUCUACUGUAACAUCUUCGUUCAAAAAAAGACAAGAAGGCUUUAGACUUUCUGUGUCAUUUGAGUUUGUGCCAAAGCAAGAAGAGAUAUCAGUGAAGGGGCUUUAUUCAGUGUUUGCUGGGUACUUGAGAUAUAUGAAAACCGCCUAUCAUGGUAUACGGUAUAUCAUUAGACCCCAGAAUCAAUAGGCCCCAAGUUAUUGACUUCCGGGAGUACUUGAGAUAAACCGCCUGUUACGGUAUGGUAUAUCAUGAUCUAGAAAAAAAGCUUUAGCUUUCACCCAACCAUUCUGAUCUGUAAAAGGCAAAAUUGGUUGUUCCAAAGCCGAAGGGGCCACUUUAAGAGAAAUAAUGAAUCAGCGCGGGCGUGGCGAUCGCAAACUCAGAUGCUUUCACAAAAUCAACAUCUCUUGCUUUAUGUAUAAUUAUAAUAAAGUUUUAGCUUUUCAUCACAAAUCAAGAAACAUGGUAAAAAACUUAACCCCGACCAUUUGAAGUAACUUUUUUUAAUUGAAUGGGAAUCCAUUUAACAAGUUAAGUUAGAACAAACGAUGUUCAGACUUUCACACCUAGCCACAACGGCGCCAUCUCUUGUCGGACAACGGGACUGACAUUUCUCGAUGGGAGGUGAAGAGUUCUGACCGCCCAGUAUGGUAUUUGAUUCAAAAAAUGAAGUUAAAUGCUCAUUUCUCUAUACAAAAUGUACUUAACCUUCGAUUAUAUGUUACCCAAAAAAAACUGAUGAUUUUCACAAUAAAUUG
Molecule: long non-coding RNA, 952 nt
Organism: Cylas formicarius (sweet potato weevil)
Lineage: Eukaryota; Metazoa; Arthropoda; Insecta; Coleoptera; Brentidae
Exons: 3
Source: RefSeq, a predicted model, not a curated record